This 2313-nucleotide ribosomal RNA is filed under the name Triticum aestivum (bread wheat). RNAcentral's name for it is "partial small subunit ribosomal RNA". Lineage: Eukaryota; Viridiplantae; Streptophyta; Magnoliopsida; Poales; Poaceae. The record is from RNAcentral.
UACCUCUUCUUCCAUUUUCUUCUACGGUUAAAAAAGAUAAGUUAAGUUCAACUACUCCUACUAGACUAUUGAUUAUAAAAGGCCCGACUAAGCUUUUACUAUAGUCUGAUACGUUACAAACCACUACAAUAUACGAAACUGUGGUGUAUAUCCUUUGAUCUACUACCCGCAGGGAAACCAAACUAACAACCCCACUUAUUAGUGUUCUUUUGGUACCAGAAACCACGAUGUGAAGAGAUACUACUUUGACGACUUUCAAAACCAACCGAAAAAUCUUGUAAAGAUUGUCGAUACAGACCCUUUGUAGCUUCCUGAUAAGACUGGCUACUUCUACGUCGUUACCGGUUCCGUUAGUCAUUUCAGGAAGGAGUCAGAGUGGUAUCUGAAACACACACCGUAUACUUAGUUUUACGAACGUUCGUGGAACGACCCCAACAACUUCUUAUAUUCUUCAAGUUACGGCUAAAGGUCGUAACGUAGAUACUAUAACUCCUUCUUCUGCUAAAAUAUUUACUUACCUUAUCUUACGAUCUGUCCAUACCUGAGGCACUGUUAUACACCGACGUUUCCGACAAACUCUUUUCCCUCGUUACCCGUGAUCACAUACCGUCUUUAUGUAAGAGUCGGGUGUACUCGUGAUGGGUUUCUUCACUUUCGUACUUAUUACUUGAUUUCGCCAUGUAAUCAUAAUUUAUACUGUACGAAUAAAAAAAACUCGUAAAACUCGCAGAUCAACGUCUAUUUUCUAAACAUCUCCACUUCACACUGAAGUUCCGCAGUGUUUGAUGAGGGUUCGACUUCCGUCUUCAAUCGAUACACAAUUCCGUUCGGCGUUGAUGUAUAUGAGGGCGUUAUAAGUUCUACAAAGUCCUCGUUCACGAAGCCUGGGACUUGAUACUGUAUAAAGAAACACUAAGUUCACUAUUUCUCUUCUUCCAAAUGUGUCAUUUUAAAGUACCUUGCGUCGCGCUCGUACAAUAGUCAAAAAUAGGUUUACUUCUUUUCCAGUUAACGUCAACGUUCUUCAAACUUAAACGACCUUAGGAGACGAGAGUAACGAAUUUCUAUGAACUAUAAUUAUUAUAGUUCGUAUAGGGACUUGUUAUAUAUGACUUUUCUACCUGUUAACUACGCUUUCACGAUCUCUAUUGUUCGUUAGCGUUAGACGUACUUCUAGAUUUUCGUUCUUACAGCUUGAAAAUGUUCCUGAACACAUCUUACAAAUAGGUGUAUCGACGAGCGCGGCGUCUCAGGCUACUUUGUAUACUAUACCGACGAUUUACACGUCUCGUCGAUCGUGCUCUACAUCUCGUUUCGAACUUUUAAUCUCAACUAGGUCUGGGUUUAGGUCUAAACCCACUGAGGAGACAAAGCGUUCAGACUUGUAGCUGAGAUGAUCUCAAAGUUUCGUAUUGCUCCCCGAAGUGUACGGUUCUCCAUACUUCCAGUUCCUCUUCUGACAUGCUCCUAGUCGCUCUGGGUAACCACCGAACCUCUUUCGUUUUUGUUGCUUCUUUUUCUUCUAUCUACUAAGAAAUGUUGAUGUUGGACUUUACGGAAAGUGUUUAGUUUACGGAUGCAUAUUGGGUUAGAAUUACCCAGUUAAGUCUCUUUUAUAACAUGGUCCUAGUCGUUCUGGGCGACUACCGAACCUCUUUCGUUUUUGUUUCUUCUUUUUCUUCUGUCAGUUAAGAAAUGUUCUUCCUGGACUUUAUGGAAACUGUUUGGUUUACGGACCCAUAAAUGGUGUCAUGUUAGGUUGGGUUUACCAAGUUGACCCUCGAGGCGGUUCAGUACGAAUGGGGAUAAAUCGUGUAAUGUUGAGUUCAGACGUUGUUAGGUAACCAGACAGCUGGGGAUGCUACUACGGUCCUGUUUUAUAUAAUAAGAAGGUUGUUGUCUGAGGAUGGUCACCAUGAAGAUGGGGAUACUAUUACCGUCCUGUCUUAGAUGGUAAGAAGGUUGUUGUCUUAGGAUGGUAACCAUGGACAUCGGGAUGCUACUACGGUCCUGUCUUAGAUAGUAAGAAAAUUGUCGUCUGAGGAUGGUCACCAUGAAGAUGGGGAUACUACUACGGGCCUGUCUUAGACAGUAAAGAGGUCGUUGUUUUAGGAUGGCAACCAUGGAGUUGGGGCUGCUACUAGGGUCCUGUUUUAGAUGGUAAGAGGGUUGUUGUUUUCGGUCGAAUUAGUUACAAUAUCUAAAAAUAAAGUACAUGAAGACACGUUAAGAUAAUCUUGGAUACUCAUAUGUUGGUACCUAACUUCCUCUGAUGGAUAUAGUUAGUCGUUAAUUGACUUAUUCGUUAAACAC